Molecule: small RNA, 283 nt
Filed under: Histoplasma capsulatum var. duboisii H88
Lineage: Eukaryota; Fungi; Ascomycota; Eurotiomycetes; Onygenales; Ajellomycetaceae
Description: Ajellomyces capsulatus H88 A. fumigatus sRNA Afu_309
Rfam family: A. fumigatus sRNA Afu_309
Source: Rfam by way of RNAcentral
CUCAUCACAACAAACCCAGAUCUGUGUCCAGCAGUCCUGAUCCAACCAGAGUAUUCGUGCUCUGGUUGUGUUUCGGUUGUUAUUGCUGGACAGCUCGACGAUUCAUGGAGCCAUCAAGGAUUACCCCUCAAAUGGUGUCAAUUUCCGGUCGACAGAUCUCAGAGAGAACCUCAGCGGCCCAGUUUUUCCUUUUUUGCCUUGUGUGAAAGGGAAUUUAACACUCUGCCUUGAGCUCCCUCCCCGUUUCGACGGGCUGGUGAAUUCGGUAAGGUGGCUGGGUUCC